This is a long non-coding RNA of Sinocyclocheilus anshuiensis, 309 nucleotides long. RefSeq lists it as uncharacterized. The record is from RefSeq and is a predicted model, not a curated record. The transcript is spliced from 3 exons. Lineage: Eukaryota; Metazoa; Chordata; Actinopteri; Cypriniformes; Cyprinidae.
CCUCCACACUGUUUUAACAGUCAUUCACGGCAGAAGCUUAAUCUACAGGGUAAAGAACCAAAAACUCCUUACCACGAAGAGAUUAAUCCAGCUCCUGGAUCUACAGUUGUAGACUACUGCUGUAUUGCUGACCACUACACCACAGGGUCAACUGUAAGUGCCUUUGAGGCUGUCAAUGCAUCUUUUACCACAUUUAAACACAUUUUAUUUACGUGUCACCCUAGCACCAUUAUGGAGAGUAUCGUGAUGCAUGCAUGUGGUGUAGAACAUGCAUGCAUCAUGAUACUCUCCAUAAUGGUUAUUUUUGUU